GGUGACAUCAUCGCAGGUCCUGUAAGCACACGGCUCCUGUACAGUCUGCAGGUGGAGGUUUCUCCAAUCCAGGAUCCUCUGCUGAUAUCUUCUAUAUAAGAGAAUUCUCCUGGAUGACCCAUCAACCAUGGAGAGAGACAGGAACAAGAUGGCCGACAGGAUCAUAAACCUCACCCUACAGAUACUCUUCCGGCUUACUGGAGAGGAUUACACAGUAGUGAAGAAGUCCUCUAGUGGGCGCUGUCGGGCCCCUGUGUGUGAAGGAUGGGGAAGAACCCUGAGCCCAAUCCCGGGGCCCCCACCUCACUCCCUGAUACAUGAGGAAAUGGAUGAAC
Long non-coding RNA from Hyla sarda, 335 nucleotides. RefSeq lists it as uncharacterized. NCBI's taxonomy places the organism in Eukaryota, Metazoa, Chordata, Amphibia, Anura, Hylidae. The transcript is spliced from 3 exons. The record is from RefSeq and is a predicted model, not a curated record.